GUCUUUUUGUUAAUAAUUUAAAGUCGAAUCUGCCCCCUGAUUAAUAAUUAAAGGGCUGCAGUAUAUUGACUGUACAAAGGUAGCAUAAUAAUUAGUCUUUUAAUUGAAGACUUGUAUGAAAGAUUUGAUGAGAUAUAAACUGUCUCUUUUUUAUAAUUUGAAUUUAAUUUUUUAGUAAAAAAGCUAAAAUUUAUUUAAAAGACGAGAAGACCCUAUAGAGUUUUAUAAUUAAAUUAAUUAUGAAUUUGUAUUUAAUUUAAAAAUUAAUUAUUUUAAUUAUUUUAUUGGGGUGAUAAAAAAAUUAAUUUAACUUUUUUUUUAAAAUAAACAUUAAUUAAUGAAUAAAUGAUCCAUUUUUUAUGAUUAUAAGAAAAAAUUACCUUAGGGAUAACAGCGUAAUUUUUUUUUUUAGUUCUUAUAAGAAAAAAAGUUUGCGACCUCGAUGUUGGAUUAAGAUAAAAUUUAAAUGCAGAAGUUUAAAAUUUUGAUCUGUUCGAUCAUUAAAAUCUUACA
Molecule: ribosomal RNA, 513 nt
Filed under: Borbo cinnara (rice swift)
Lineage: Eukaryota; Metazoa; Arthropoda; Insecta; Lepidoptera; Hesperiidae
Description: partial 16S ribosomal RNA
Rfam family: Bacterial large subunit ribosomal RNA (bases 387-513)
Source: RNAcentral